This 468-nucleotide ribosomal RNA is filed under the name uncultured bacterium. Its description in RNAcentral is "partial 16S ribosomal RNA". It matches the Rfam family "Bacterial small subunit ribosomal RNA", at positions 28 to 507 of the family's 1533-position model. The record is from RNAcentral.
GACGAACGCUGGCGGCGUGCUUAACACAUGCAAGUCGAACGGAAAGGCCCUGCUUUUGUGGGGUGCUCGAGUGGCGAACGGGGGAGUAAAACGUGAGUAACCUGCCCUUGACUUUGGGAUAACUUCAGGAAACUGGGGCUAAUACCGGAUAGGAGCUCCUGCUGCAUGGUGGGGGUUGGAAAGUUUCGGCGGUGGGGGAUGGACUCGCGGCUUAUCAGCUUGUUGGUGGGGUAGGGGCUGACAAAGGCUGUGACGGGUAGCCGGCCUGAGAGGGUGACCGGCGACAUUGGGACUGAGAGACGGACCAGACGCGUACGGGAGGCAGCAGUGGGGAAUAUUGCGCAAUGGGCGGAAGCCUGAUGCAGCAACGCCGCGUGCGGGAUGACGGCCUUUGGGUUGUAAACCGCUUUCGCCUGUGACGAAGCGUGAGUGACGGUAAUUGGUAAAGAAGCACCGGCUAACUACGUG